Molecule: ribosomal RNA, 253 nt
Filed under: uncultured bacterium
Lineage: Bacteria
Description: partial 16S ribosomal RNA
Rfam family: Bacterial small subunit ribosomal RNA
Source: RNAcentral
UACGAGUGGUCCAAGCAUUAUCCGGAAUUACUGGGCGUAAAGGGCGCGUAGGCGGCCCACUAAGUCGGACGUGAAAUCCCUCGGCUCAACCGGGGAACUGCGUCCGAUACUGGUGGGCUCGAAUCCGGGAGAGGGAUGUGGAAUUCCAGGUGUAGCGGUGAAAUGCGUAGAUAUCUGGAGGAAUACCAGAGGCGAAGGCGGCUACCUGGACAAUUGCUGACGCUCAGGCACGAAAGCGUGGGGAGCAAAAGGG